RNAcentral lists this ribosomal RNA (426 nucleotides) under uncultured bacterium. Its description in RNAcentral is "partial 16S ribosomal RNA". It matches the Rfam family "Bacterial small subunit ribosomal RNA", at positions 354 to 796 of the family's 1533-position model. The record is from RNAcentral.
GUGGGGAAUAUUGCGCAAUGGGGGAAACCCUGACGCAGCAACGCCGCGUGAGUGAUGAAGGCUUUCGAGUCGUAAAACUCUGUCUUUGGGGACGAAUAAUGACGGUACCCAAGGAGGAAGCCCCGGCUAACUACGUGCCAGCAGCCGCGGUAAUACGUAGGGGGCAAGCGUUGUCCGGAAUCACUGGGCGUAAAGGGCGCGUAGGCGGUUUGUUAAGUCAGGUGUGAAAGUUUUCAGCUUAACUGGAAAAGUGCACUUGAAACUAACUUACUUGAGUACUGGAGAGGUAAGCGGAAUUCCUAGUGUAGCGGUGAAAUGCGUAGAUAUUAGGAAGAACACCGGUGGCGAAGGCGGCUUACUGGACAGAGACUGACGCUGAGGCGCGAAAGCGUGGGGAGCGAACAGGAUUAGAUACCCGAGUAGUCC